ACAGAGGGUGCGAGCGUUGUUCGGAAUUAUUGGGCGUAAAGGGCGCGUAGGCGGUGCGGUAAGUCACCUGUGAAAUCUCCUGGCUCAACUGGGAGCUUGCAGGCGAAACUGCCGUGCUGGAGUGUGGGAGAGGUGCGUGGAAUUCCCGGUGUAGCGGUGAAAUGCGUAGAUAUCUGGAGGAACACCGGUGGCGAAGGCGGCAUCCUGGACCGGUAUUGACGCUGAGGCGCGAAAGCCAGGGGAGCAAACGGGA
Molecule: ribosomal RNA, 253 nt
Filed under: uncultured prokaryote
Description: partial 16S ribosomal RNA
Rfam family: Bacterial small subunit ribosomal RNA
Source: RNAcentral